AGUGCAUCCAUGGAUAGGUUCAUAAUCAAUUAUUUCUCCAAACAACUUUUAGUAAUUGGGUUCUGCCUCAGGCAUCCCUUCAGCAAGCGUGUGGCGCCUCCACUAAAAAUCCUGGUUAGAUCCAACCAUUAACAUGAUACAUCAAGUGCAUCCAACAAACAGAUGUCCAGGCUCGAGUGUGACUCGACCAACCUAAGCAUUGAUCUGAAGAUACAUC
RNAcentral lists this long non-coding RNA (217 nucleotides) under Elaeis guineensis (African oil palm). RNAcentral describes it as "long non-coding RNA (EGUI_LNC044286)". The record is from RNAcentral. Lineage: Eukaryota; Viridiplantae; Streptophyta; Magnoliopsida; Arecales; Arecaceae.